Molecule: ribosomal RNA, 497 nt
Filed under: uncultured bacterium
Lineage: Bacteria
Description: partial 16S ribosomal RNA
Rfam family: Bacterial small subunit ribosomal RNA
Source: RNAcentral
GAUGAACGCUGGCGGCGUGCCUAAUACAUGCAAGUCGAGCGAAAAGACAAUGAGCUUUCUCCUCUGACGUUAGCGGCUGGCGGGUGAGUAACACGUGGAUAACCUUCCUAUUUUUCUGGGAUAACUACGGGAAAAAGGAUACACUACCGGCUCAUAUAUUGUACGGCAUGGAUCAAUAGUUCAUGACACUUUUGCUGACUCUUUUAGAUGAUUUCGCGCCGCAUUAGCUAGUUGGUAAGGUAACGGCUUACCAAGGCGACGAUGCGUAGCUGAGCUGAGAGGGUGAUCAGCCACACUGGAACUGAGACACGGUCCAGACUCCUACGGGAGGCAGCAGUAGGGAAUCUUCCGCAAUGGGCGAAAGCCUGACGCAGCAACGCCGCGUGAGUGAAGAAGGUCUUCGGAUCGUAAAACUCUUUUAUUAGGGAAGAACAACUGUAUGAUUAACUAUGCACGUCUUGACGGUACCUAAACAGAAAGCCACGGCUAACUUCGUG